This 505-nucleotide ribosomal RNA is filed under the name uncultured bacterium. RNAcentral's name for it is "partial 16S ribosomal RNA". It matches the Rfam family "Bacterial small subunit ribosomal RNA", at positions 28 to 507 of the family's 1533-position model. The record is from RNAcentral.
GACGAACGCUGGCGGCGUGCCUAAUACAUGCAAGUAGAACGCACAGUUUAUACCGUAGCUUGCUACACCAUAGACUGUGAGUUGCGAACGGGUGAGUAACGCGUAGGUAACCUGCCUGGUAGCGGGGGAUAACUAUUGGAAACGAUAGCUAAUACCGCAUAAUAUUGAUUAUUGCAUGAUAAUUGAUUGAAAGAUGCUAUUGCAUCACUACCAGAUGGACCUGCGUUGUAUUAGCUAGUAGGUGAGGUAACGGCUCACCUAGGCGACGAUACAUAGCCGACCUGAGAGGGUGAUCGGCCACACUGGGACUGAGACACGGCCCAGACUCCUACGGGAGGCAGCAGUAGGGAAUCUUCGGCAAUGGACGAAAGUCUGACCGAGCAACGCCGCGUGAGUGAAGAAGGUUGUCGGAUCGUAAAGCUAUGUUGUAAGAGAAGAACGGGUGUGAGAGUGGAAAGUUCACACUGUGACGGUAUCUUACCAGAAAGGGACGGCUAACUACGUG